Molecule: ribosomal RNA, 1369 nt
Filed under: uncultured prokaryote
Description: partial 16S ribosomal RNA
Rfam family: Bacterial small subunit ribosomal RNA
Source: RNAcentral
GCAUGGCUAAAGCAUGCAAGUCGCGGGAGAAGCACCUUCGGGUGUGGACACCGGCGUAAGGGCGAGGAACGGUAUCGAACGUACCCCAAGGUGGAGGAUAGCCUGUGGAAACGCACGGUAAUACUCCAUGUGCUCUUCGGAGGAAAGCUUUGGCGCCUCGGGAGCGGCGAUCGUCCUAUCAGGUAGUUGGUGAGGUAAAGGCUCACCAAGCCGAAGACGGGUAGCGGGUGUGAGAGCAUGACCCGCCGCAUCGGGACUGAGACACUGCCCGGACUCCUACGGGAGGCUGCAGCGACGAAUCUUCCGCAAUGGGCGAAAGCCUGACGGAGCAAUGCCGCGUGUGGGAUGAAGCAUCUUCGAUGUGUAAACCACUGUCAGAAUCUAGGAACACUGACCAGAUUCAAAGGAAGGGCCGGCUAAUUCUGUGCCAGCAGCCGCGGUAAUACAGAAGGCCCGAGCGUUAAUCAGAAUUACUGGGCUUAAAGCGUGCGCAGGCGGUCUAGAUAGUAUCUCGUGAAAUCCCUCGGCUCAACCGGGGAACUGCGGGGUAAACUGCUAGACUUGAGAAAGGUAGGGGCUGAUGGAACCAUGAGUGGAGCGGUGAAAUGCGUAGAUAUUCAUGGGAACGCCGAUGGGGAAGCCGAUCAGCUGGGCCUUUUCUGACGCUCAUGCACGAAAGCGUGGGGAGCAAACAGGAUUAGAUACCCUGGUAGUCCACGCCGUAAACGAUGUGCACUAGGUCGUGGCAACUCUGACGUUGUCGCGGCCGAAGGAAAACUAUUAAGUGCACCGCCUGGGGAGUACGGUCGCAAGGCUAAAACUCAAAGGAAUUGACGGGGGCUCACACAAGCGGUGGAGCAUGUUGCUUAAUUCGAGACAACGCGAAGAACCUUACCUGGGUUUGACAUGCACGGAUUAACUCUGUGAAAGCAGAGCCACGCCUUCGGGUGGAACGUGCACAGGUGCUGCAUGGCUGUCGUCAGCUCGUGCUGUGAAGUGUCGGGUUAAGUCCCUUAACGAGCGAAACCCCUGCCGCUAGUUGCCAACAGAUAAUGCUGGGGACUCUAGCGGGACUGCCGGCGUCAAGUCGGAGGAAGGUGGGGACGACGUCAAGUCCGCAUGGCCUUUAUGCCCAGGGCUGCACACGUGCUACAAUGGCGUAUACAGAGCGACGCGAGACCGCGAGGUGGAGCAAAUCGCAAAAAGUACGCCCCAGUUCGGAUUGCAGGCUGCAACUCGCCUGCAUGAAGUUGGAAUCGCUAGUAAUCGGAGAUCAGCACGCUCCGGUGAAUACGUUCCUGAGCCUUGUACACACCGCCCGUCAAGUCAUGGAAGCAGGCAGCGCCCGAAGUCGCCACGUAUCAGGGGU